CCGUAAGUUUUCUGAGGGUGUCUCAUCUAAAACUCCUUCUCCUACUUCUCAUCUUUAAAAGUGUCCAAAUCAAGAAAAAAGAGGCAUCUGAUCGACCAUCGAAGAAGGAUCAGUGCAGUACUAGCAUACUGUGUUGAUUUCCUGGAUCAGGACUUCUGAUCGUGAUUCGUGGGCUUGUGUGGAUGACUCCUAGAGGUCGGAUGUAUGUGUGGUUCACAACAUCAUCCUCAAACCCG
This 236-nucleotide long non-coding RNA is filed under the name Elaeis guineensis (African oil palm). RNAcentral's name for it is "long non-coding RNA (EGUI_LNC073803)". Lineage: Eukaryota; Viridiplantae; Streptophyta; Magnoliopsida; Arecales; Arecaceae. The record is from RNAcentral.